This 861-nucleotide long non-coding RNA is filed under the name Homo sapiens (human). Its description in RNAcentral is "HSALNT0342176". Lineage: Eukaryota; Metazoa; Chordata; Mammalia; Primates; Hominidae. The record is from RNAcentral.
GUGGAUAAAAACCUUAAAUUGUCCCCAAUGUCUGCUUCAAAUUGGAUGGCACUGCAGCUGGAGGCUUUGUUCAGAAUUGAUCCUGGGGAGCUACGAACCCAAAGUUUCACAGUAGGAAGGGGGAAAAAAGAAAAGAAAACAUUUUUCCUAAUGUAACAAUGCGAAUGCUAGAAAAUGACAAGACUGAUCGGUUUUAAACCAUUCUGAAGACUGACUGAGCGUGGAAGUUGCUCAACAAAAAAAGGAACGGGUAUAUUGUUGCUGAGACAAAGGAAAACCCACUCCCUUGGAGGAGCAUGACCUUUUCCUGUAAUUCUUCCCACUGCUGUUGUUGAGCUCCUUGGAUCCUGGCUCCUGGACACCAUCAUCAAGAAGACUUUAUGGAUGGGCUGUCCACCCACUGAGAGAAGAGGAGCAUCAGCUACAGUUUCUCUCUAGAUUGCCUUCUUCAUUUUGAGUAAUGACUGUCAGCAGGGUCAGAUUAAACACAAAACAACUGGACAAUUGCUUGGAGGACUAAACUAUAAGGGCACUAACAUGUCAAUAGUAGGCUAACACAUCCAUGGAAAAUAUAUUUACCAGCUCUUCUCUCAGGGAGGAUUCUGUGUGGGGUUGGAAGUAAUGAUUUGUUAAAUUCCUUAGGGGUAGAAAGUAGGGCAUAAUCAGAAUAUAGAGGAAUAUGCUGUUUGACUUCAGGGUUUCUGUUUUUCUUACUAGGAUAUAUAAAACAGGGACUCUAGCUAGAUUGUUUAUGACCACAGAGGGUAGGCUGAGUGCUCCCAUGAUCUUCCUGCUUGGUUCUUGCCCAUACAGAGGUCAGCCUUUCCUCUAAUAAAGAUUGAACAAGUAGUGGUCUGAGGG